This 274-nucleotide ribosomal RNA is filed under the name uncultured bacterium. Its description in RNAcentral is "partial 16S ribosomal RNA". It matches the Rfam family "Bacterial small subunit ribosomal RNA", at positions 333 to 600 of the family's 1533-position model. The record is from RNAcentral.
AUACACCUACGGGGGCAGCAGUAGGGAAUCUUCCACAAUGGGCGAAAGCCUGAUGGAGCAACGCCGCGUGGGUGAAGAAGGUCUUCGGAUCGUAAAACCCUGUUGUUAGAGAAGAAAGUGCGUGAGAGUAACUGUUCACGUUUCGACGGUAUCUAACCAGAAAGCCACGGCUAACUACGUGCCAGCAGCCGCGGUAAUACGUAGGUGGCAAGCGUUAUCCGGAUUUAUUGGGCGUAAAGGGAACGCAGGCGGUCUUUUAAGUCUGAAGAGAAAG